Molecule: ribosomal RNA, 401 nt
Filed under: uncultured bacterium
Lineage: Bacteria
Description: partial 16S ribosomal RNA
Rfam family: Bacterial small subunit ribosomal RNA
Source: RNAcentral
CCUACGGGUGGCAGCAGGGGGGAAUAUUGCACAAUGGGGGAAACCCUGAUGCAGCAACGCCGCGUGAAGGAAGACGGUUUGCGGAUUGUAAACUUCUGUUCGUAGUGAAGAAGAAUGACGGUAGCGAAGGAGCAAGCCACGGCUAACUACGUGCCAGCAGCCGCGGUAAUACGGAGGUGGCAAGCGUUGUCCGGAAUUACUGGGUGUAAAGGGAGCGCAGGCGGGAAGCCAAGUCAGCGGUGAAAACUACGGGCUUAACUUGUCGACUGCAGUUGAAACUGGUUUUCUUUAGUGAAGUAGAGGUUGGCGGCAUUCCGCUUGUAGCGGUGAAAUGCGUAGCUCUUCGGAGGCACACCGGUGGCGACGGCGGCCCACUGGGCUUUAACUGACGCUGAGGCUCG